UACUUUCUCCCCAUCGCCUCCUGUGUGCCAGCGGUAGGAGGACCCAGCACGUCCAAGAGGAAGCAAUGAUUUUCCCAGGCUUCACUGAAGAAGAGAGAAAGAGAGAGAGCACAAGCAGGAG
Molecule: long non-coding RNA, 121 nt
Organism: Neogale vison (American mink)
Lineage: Eukaryota; Metazoa; Chordata; Mammalia; Carnivora; Mustelidae
Exons: 3
Source: RefSeq, a predicted model, not a curated record